Coffea arabica (coffee) is the source of this 1106-nucleotide non-coding RNA. NCBI's taxonomy places the organism in Eukaryota, Viridiplantae, Streptophyta, Magnoliopsida, Gentianales, Rubiaceae. The record is from RefSeq and is a predicted model, not a curated record.
UUAAGAAUCCGGGGAAACCAAAAAAUAGAAAUAACGCAUGAAACUCUGGUGAUAAAAUAGAAAGCGUAUAGGAAGCAUUUCUUCUUCCCUCUUUCAAUGUCUCAUUUUCGGUUUUAUCUUUUCCUCUCCGUCCGUGUCAAUGGCCGUAUCAACCUUUUUCAAUCUCUCUCUUUUUCCUCUUAGCAUUUUCCAAUUUUCCCUCCGUAUCAAGCUCUGAGAGUUUUUCAAUUUUCCUUUGACCAAUUUAGCUUUGACUUCGAACUGAAACCAUUGCAGUGGACACUUGGGAAUUUUGUUUGCUCUGAGAAUUUUCCAAAAUCUGGAUAAGGAUCGAGAUUCUUCAGGUUUUCUUUCUUUUUAUCAGUUUCUAGGACUUCUGUAGCUGCAAAAAAGUAAGCUGAUUAUCUGAUGGCAGAGUAUGAACCGGCGUUCAUAGAUGAUGUGUCUGAUCAUAGAUGAUGUGUCUGUGCCUGUGCCUUUGGAACUUGAAGGUGUUGUCGAUGAUGCGGAAGCAGGUGAGACCAGAAUGAACAGUUCAGGCCAUGGUAGAACAAAGGGUUCGGGCCAAGCAUCCAAGAAGGAAAAUGAAAACGGCCAAGCCAUCUUACCCUGGGUCAUAUUUGGGGCAAUGGCACUUGGCGUGGCUGCUGCAGCUACCAUCUGUGGUGCUGUAAUUUUCACUAAAAAGAGUGGUGAGACUCUUGAAAGUGCUGAUAAGCUCUUCAAGAGUCUCACUGCCUUGGCUAAAAAGUGGGCAGCGGCACCUCCUGCUGAUGUCCACAUUGACAAAGUAUUUGACAAAGUAUUUGUCAAUGUGGACUACACGUGGUAUAAGCGGGGCUAAUUGGACACUACAUAGUUCCAUUUCUUAAUGUACUGUUUACCUAUGCUGCAAAACCUUUGAGGUUAUAUUUUUGUAGUUUUAUUAAGCAGUGAAAAUAGUGGAUUGCUGAGAUCAUUGAGAAAGUUUGAUAUACCAUUUGGUCUUCAAUUCGAAGGUGCUAUCUGGAAUAUAUGAUUCCUGUUUGGUUGUACUACUUUGUGAGUAGUAGAUAAACAUCGGAAUGCCGGUGACUUAAAAAAAUUGUCCUUCAAUUCUUAUGAUU